GUGACCUCAGGUCAGGCGGGAAUACCCGCUGAAUUUAAGCAUAUCAAUAAGCGGAGGA
This 58-nucleotide ribosomal RNA is filed under the name Clusia sipapoana. RNAcentral's name for it is "partial 28S ribosomal RNA". It matches the Rfam family "Eukaryotic large subunit ribosomal RNA", at positions 1 to 57 of the family's 3401-position model. The record is from RNAcentral. Lineage: Eukaryota; Viridiplantae; Streptophyta; Magnoliopsida; Malpighiales; Clusiaceae.